RNAcentral lists this long non-coding RNA (548 nucleotides) under Physcomitrium patens. Its description in RNAcentral is "long non-coding RNA (PPAT_LNC014196)". The record is from RNAcentral. Lineage: Eukaryota; Viridiplantae; Streptophyta; Bryopsida; Funariales; Funariaceae.
AGAAACUUAACAUAUGGCUCUAACUAUUACUAUCAACAAAAUAACUCACUUACUGACUUUGAAUUACAUAUAUUACCUUCAAUGACCUAUAACUCCUUUAUCCAAACUUAGAAUUUAUCAAAUAAUAUGUGUAAAGUAUAGUCAAAGAAUGGACCUCUCCAAUUCUAAUUGCCUAUCUUUCAUUGCUCUUUGUACACAUAUGUUAAGCUUCAAAGAAUGAUACUUAGUACGAAUUUGACACCUUAACUUUGAAUACCUAUAUUUCCUUCACAAAAACUCAAAAUCAUACAAUAUCUUCACCCAAAUUAUAUUCAAAAUCCUGAACUUACUGACCUUAGUCUCAAAAUCUCGAAUGAAUUUAAAAGAAAAAUCCUAAUCCUUAAUAAGGCCUCGGACAGCCUCCUUGAAGUCCAUUGGACAUGGCCUUCGACCAAUAAGAACAAAGAUCUCUAUUCCUUGCCUUCAUCCAACCACGCCUUGUUUUCAUCCCUCUCAAUAAGCCUCCUACUAAUAAAAAAUUUCUUCUUUAGACUCUAAUCUCCUCUCAA